RNAcentral lists this ribosomal RNA (484 nucleotides) under uncultured bacterium. RNAcentral describes it as "partial 16S ribosomal RNA". It matches the Rfam family "Bacterial small subunit ribosomal RNA", at positions 30 to 507 of the family's 1533-position model. The record is from RNAcentral.
AGUGAACGCUGGCGGCAGGCCUAACACAUGCAAGUCGAGCGGCAGCGGGUCCUUCGGGAUGCCGGCGAGCGGCGGACGGGUGAGGAAUGCAUCGGAAUCUGCCCUGUCGUGGGGGAUAACCUAGGGAAACUUAGGCUAAUACCGCAUACGACCCACGGGUGAAAGCGGGGGAUCGCAAGACCUCGCGCGAUCGGAUGAGCCGAUGUCCGAUUAGCUAGUUGGCGGGGUAAAGGCCCACCAAGGCGACGAUCGGUAGCUGGUCUGAGAGGAUGAUCAGCCACACUGGGACUGAGACACGGCCCAGACUCCUACGGGAGGCAGCAGUGGGGAAUAUUGGACAAUGGGCGCAAGCCUGAUCCAGCCAUGCCGCGUGGGUGAAGAAGGCCUUCGGGUUGUAAAGCCCUUUUGUCCGGGAAGAAAUGGUCUGGGCUAAUACCCCGGGGGGAUGACGGUACCGGAAGAAUAAGCACCGGCUAACUUCGUG